This 980-nucleotide long non-coding RNA is filed under the name Homo sapiens (human). RNAcentral describes it as "non-protein coding lnc-FGFR1OP-20:1". Lineage: Eukaryota; Metazoa; Chordata; Mammalia; Primates; Hominidae. The record is from RNAcentral.
CCCUCAUGAGGCCCUCCAUCCCUGGGGGAAGACUCCUGGAGGAAAUGCGUAGGCGGGGAUUCCACAGGGACGCAGUGUUCAUGCAGCGCCUGUCUGGUGCCAGUUCUGAAGCACACACUGCAAAGAUUAAGAAGAUGGGUCUCAGCUGAUUGGGAGUAGAGCACAGCAUCUUCAGAGAAGGCCACGGAAGUCCUCCUCAAGGUGUCCAAGUGUCCUCCAAACAUUAGCCACUGUUGUUAUUAAUAAAGGAAUUUAAGACCGAAAAGACCUAUGGAGGAUUCAGGAGUCCAGGGGCCUGUAUUACACAGAAGAGUUAAGAGGGUGAUUCACACACCCGUGAAGAUGAGUCUCCUCCCUCAUCCUCCCCACACUGGGUCCAUAAGAGGUGCUCCUGAGCAGUUUCACCUCAUAACCCACAGGCUUAGAUUUGGUGCUGAGGUAGCCAGGGUCAGCCCUAGUGCAGAGUAGAGCAGCUUAAUUUCAGAUGAAUUUUUCAGUGGCCAUUGCUCACUAGGUGCCUGGACAGGUCAAACCGUUUUCCACUUGUGAACAAGCAUCUCAAAGCCAGUCCCCCCGCAGCUGACUGGCAGGUGUGCUCUGCCGUCUGCUUUUGGAAACAAGCCCUCAAGUGAAUUAUUUAAAGUCAGACAGCCUACUAUUAGCAGACCUAAAGGAGGAACUCCUAGCAAUUAAUUAAAUCCUGAUAUUUAACCCCCUGAGCUGAGCUAGUGCCUGUAGGGCAAAGGUGCUCAAACUUCAGGCUGCGUCGGAAUAACCCUGAGAGCUUGUUAAAAAGCAGACUGCUGGGCCCCAACCCCGGAGUUUCUGGUUCAGUAGGUCUGGGGUGGGCCUGGAAAUGUGCACUUCUAGCAAGUUUCAGGGGCUUCUGCUGACCCUGGAUCAGUGUAUCACACAGGACCGAUAGAUUAUUGUCCCUGAUUAUGGUGAAUAAUAUGGCCCAAAACACUUAAGAAACCUCC